ACGAAUGCUCCUUGCAAAUCCACAAUCCGCAAACCGAUCUGGAAAUCCACUUGCCGUUGUCUGCAAAUCGCGUCGUAUGCAAAUCACGUCACUGGAAAUUAAUCUAGAUCUAGAAAUCGAUCCCUAAUCAUGUCACUGGAAAUCGAUCCCAAAUCUGCAACACUCGUCGUCUGCAAAUCGCGUCGUCUGCAAAUCACGUCACUGGAAAUCAAUCUAGAUCUAGAAAUCGAUCCCUAAUCAUGUCACUGGAAAUCGAUCCCAAAUCUGCAACACUCGUCGUCUGCAAAUUGAUUUGGAUCUGCAAAUCCCAAAUCGCGUCUUCCGUCUUCGUAUUCUGUCAGAAAACGGAAAUCCCAAAACGAGCAGAAAUCGCUGCAAUAAAUCGAUCGAAAGAUAGACUUGCAAAAUCGCUGCAACAAAGUCGCAUCUUCCAUCUUCCGAGAAAUCGAUUUAACAGAAAUCGAUUGAAAGAUCUGGAAUCAAUCUUCCAUCUUCCAAAAAAAUCGCCGAAAACUGCCGGAGAAAAAAAUACACAUUUGUCGCCGGAAGUGAAACGAAUAUGGCGUUGAAGAAUGGAGGUGGCGUCGAUUUCACCUUCACAGAAGAGAACCGUCUGAUACCAUCUUAGAAUCUCAAUGCUCUGCAAAGAUGAAUCGCAUAUGGAAAAU
Molecule: long non-coding RNA, 668 nt
Filed under: Zostera marina
Lineage: Eukaryota; Viridiplantae; Streptophyta; Magnoliopsida; Alismatales; Zosteraceae
Description: long non-coding RNA (ZMAR_LNC001446)
Source: RNAcentral